Molecule: long non-coding RNA, 702 nt
Organism: Trachymyrmex cornetzi
Lineage: Eukaryota; Metazoa; Arthropoda; Insecta; Hymenoptera; Formicidae
Exons: 3
Source: RefSeq, a predicted model, not a curated record
AUUUGUCCGAUACGUGUGCUGUGCGAAAGAAGAACGGUUGAGUUUCGCGUCGUCAAUGUUCUUGAAACGCGCAGCAGUAUCGUGUUCUGCAUCAGGUACUUCACGAUCGAAUGAUCGAAUCUCAGCGCGAAAAUUAUCAUCAAGUCAAGCGGCCAUUGCACGAUUUUACUCAUGAAUUGAUAACGGGAGUAAAGAUUAUCAGAAUACAUGCGUCGCGAUCAUACGUAAGCGACGUAUCGGCAAUUUUUUCUCAUUUCUUUGUGUCUGUUUACAUUGUCAUUCAGUAGCAACAUAACCUCAACUAAAAUUGUAAAAUCGGAUCCGCUUCUCUAAAAAUAUUACCGAGAUAAGUUCUAUUUCAAAUUGAUAAUUCAACGUGAACGCCAUGUAAUAAAGCAUCAUUUCUGCGCAUGAAAUGUUAAUGACAUCACAAAUCAAACGAUGUCACGUAACGACGAACCAUUUCUUUCGUUCUUGUUUUGUUUGUGUGAACUUCCCGCGAAUCAGGAAAUGACGGAUAAAACUUCUCCGGUGGGUAGAUCGUAAACCGCCGACAUUCCUUGUCCUGCGAACCAUAUACAUGGAAAGAUUUGUCUAAUAAGAGAGAAAGAGAAAGAAAAAUGUGAAACUGAGGAUGAGAGUGAGAAACCAUGCAAGAAAGAGACAGAAAUAUUAUACGUCAUGAAGUAAUGAAGCACGCUG